CCUACGGGAGGCAGCAGUGGGGAAUUUUGGACAAUGGGCGAAAGCCUGAUCCAGCAAUGCCGCGUGUGUGAUGAAGGCCUUCGGGUUGUAAAGCACUUUUGGCGGGAACGAAAAGGACUGUGCCAAUACCACGGUUCGAUGACGGUACCCGCAGAAUAAGCACCGGCUAGCUACGUGCCAGCAGCCGCGGUAAUACGUAGGGUGCAAGCGUUAAUCGGAAUUACUGGGCGUAAAGAGUGCGCAGGCGGUUUUGCAAGACCGAUGUGAAAUCCCCGGGCUUAACCUGGGAACUGCAUAGGUGACUGCAAGGCUAGAGUGUGUCAGAGGGAGGUGGAAUUCCGCAUGUAGCAGUGAAAUGCGUAGAUAUGCGGAGGAACACCGAUGGCGAAGGCAGCCUCCUGGGAUAACACUGACGCUCAUGCACGAAAGCGUGGGGAGCAAACAGGAUUAGAUACCCUGGUAGUCCACGCCCUAAACGAUGUCUACUAGUUGUCGGGGAUUAAUUUCCUUGGUAACGCAGCUAACGCGUGAAGUAGACCGCCUGGGGAGUACGGUCGCAAGAUUAAAACUCAAAGGAAUUGACGG
RNAcentral lists this ribosomal RNA (585 nucleotides) under uncultured bacterium. Its description in RNAcentral is "bacterial SSU rRNA". It matches the Rfam family "Bacterial small subunit ribosomal RNA", at positions 338 to 916 of the family's 1533-position model. The record is from RNAcentral.